UAGGGAAUCUUCGGCAAUGGACGAAAGUCUGACCGAGCAACGCCGCGUGAGUGAAGAAGGUUUUCGGAUCGUAAAACUCUGUUGUUAGAGAAGAACAAGGCCGUUAGUAACUGAACGUCCCCUGACGGUAUCUAACCAGAAAGCCACGGCUAACUACGUUCCAGCAGCCCCGGAAAUACGUAGGUGGCAAGCGUUGUCCGGAUUUAUUGGGCGUAAAGCGAGCGCAGGCGGUUUCUUAAGUCUGAUGUGAAAGCCCCCGGCUCAACCGGGGAGGGUCAUUGGAAACUGGGAGACUUGAGUGCAGAAGAGGAGAGUGGAAUUCCAUGUGUAGCGGUGAAAUGCGUAGAUAUAUGGAGGAACACCAGUGGCGAAGGCGGCUCUCUGGUCUGUAACUGACGCUGAGGCUCGAAAGCGUGGGGAGCAAACAGG
This 429-nucleotide ribosomal RNA is filed under the name Gemmatimonadota bacterium. Its description in RNAcentral is "Gemmatimonadetes bacterium partial 16S ribosomal RNA". It matches the Rfam family "Bacterial small subunit ribosomal RNA", at positions 355 to 776 of the family's 1533-position model. Lineage: Bacteria; Pseudomonadati; Gemmatimonadota. The record is from RNAcentral.